Molecule: ribosomal RNA, 1555 nt
Filed under: uncultured bacterium
Lineage: Bacteria
Description: bacterial SSU rRNA
Rfam family: Bacterial small subunit ribosomal RNA
Source: RNAcentral
GGGGGUUUAGACGGCCACGUAUUAGAGUUUGAUCCUGGCUCAGGACGAACGCUGGCGGCGUGCCUAAUACAUGCAAGUAGAACGCUGAAAUAAGAGCUUGCUCUUAUGGAUGAGUUGCGAACGGGUGAGUAACACGUGGGGAACCUACCUUCUAGCGGGGGAUAACACAUAGAAAUGUGUGCUAAUACCGCAUAAUAGUAUUUGAUGCAUAUCAGAUACUUGAAAGGCGCAAUUGCGUCACUAGAAGAUGGCCCCGCGGUGCAUUAGCUAGUUGGUGAGGUAACGGCUCACCAAGGCAAUGAUGCAUAGCCGACCUGAGAGGGUGAUCGGCCACACUGGGACUGAGACACGGCCCAGACUCCUACGGGAGGCAGCAGUAGGGAAUCUUCGGCAAUGGACGCAAGUCUGACCGAGCAACGCCGCGUGAGUGAAGAAGGUUUUCGGAUCGUAAAACUCUGUUGUAAGAGAAGAACGUUGAUGAGAGUGGAAAGUUCAUCAAGUGACGGUAUCUUACCAGAAAGCCACGGCUAACUACGUGCCAGCAGCCGCGGUAAUACGUAGGUGGCAAGCGUUGUCCGGAUUUAUUGGGCGUAAAGCGAGCGCAGGCGGUUGAUUAAGUCUGAUGUGAAAGCCCCCGGCUCAACCGGGGAGGGUCAUUGGAAACUGGUCAACUUGAGUGCAGAAGAGGAGAGUGGAAUUCCAUGUGUAGCGGUGAAAUGCGUAGAUAUAUGGAGGAACACCAGUGGCGAAGGCGGCUCUCUGGUCUGUAACUGACGCUGAGGCUCGAAAGCGUGGGGAGCGAACAGGAUUAGAUACCCUGGUAGUCCACGCCGUAAACGAUGAGUGCUAAGUGUUGGAGGGUUUCCGCCCUUCAGUGCUGCAGCUAACGCAUUAAGCACUCCGCCUGGGGAGUACGACCGCAAGGUUGAAACUCAAAGGAAUUGACGGGGGCCCGCACAAGCGGUGGAGCAUGUGGUUUAAUUCGAAGCAACGCGAAGAACCUUACCAGGUCUUGACAUCCUUUGACCACCUCAGAGAUGAGGCUUUCCCUUCGGGGACAAAGUGACAGGUGGUGCAUGGUUGUCGUCAGCUCGUGUCGUGAGAUGUUGGGUUAAGUCCCGCAACGAGCGCAACCCUUAUUGUUAGUUGCCAUCAUUAAGUUGGGCACUCUAGCGAGACUGCCGGUGAUAAACCGGAGGAAGGUGGGGAUGACGUCAAAUCAUCAUGCCCCUUAUGACCUGGGCUACACACGUGCUACAAUGGGAAGUACAACGAGUCGCAAAGUCGCGAGGCUAAGCAAAUCUCUUAAAGCUUCUCUCAGUUCGGAUUGUAGGCUGCAACUCGCCUACAUGAAGCCGGAAUCGCUAGCAAUCGCGGAUCAGCACGCCGCGGUGAAUACGUUCCCGGGCCUUGUACACACCGCCCGUCACACCACGAGAGUUUGUAACACCCGAAGCCGGUGGGCUAACCUUUAUGGAGGCAGCCGUCUAAGGUGGGAUAGAUGAUUGGGGUGAAGUCGUAACAAGGUAACCAAUGUAAUUCAUUGUUCAAUUUU